RNAcentral lists this ribosomal RNA (459 nucleotides) under uncultured bacterium. RNAcentral describes it as "partial 16S ribosomal RNA". It matches the Rfam family "Bacterial small subunit ribosomal RNA", at positions 338 to 795 of the family's 1533-position model. The record is from RNAcentral.
CCUACGGGUGGCAGCAGUGAGGAAUAUUGGGCAAUGGGAGAGAUCCUGACCCAGCCACGCCGCGUGAGGGAAGACGGCCCUAUGGGUUGUAAACCUCUUUUGUCGGAGAACAAAACCCGGGACGUGUCCCGGACUGCGUGUAUCCGCAGCAACAGCAUCGGCUAGCUCCGUGCCAGCAGCCGCGGUAAUCCGGAGGAUGCGAGCGUUAUCGGGAUUUAUUGGGUUUAAAGGGUGCGUAGGCGGUCCGUUAAGUCCGCGGUAAAAUUGCGGGGCUCAACCCCGUCGAGCCGUUGAAACUGGCAGACUUGAGUGGGCGAGAAGUACGCGGAAUGCGCGGUGUAGCGGUGAAAUGCAUAGAUAUCGCGCAGAACUCCGAUUGCGAAGGCAGCGUACCGGCGCCAGACUGACGCUGAGGCACGAAAGCGUGGGGAGCGAACAGGAUUAGAUACCCCUGUAGUC